RNAcentral lists this ribosomal RNA (496 nucleotides) under uncultured bacterium. Its description in RNAcentral is "partial 16S ribosomal RNA". It matches the Rfam family "Bacterial small subunit ribosomal RNA", at positions 29 to 507 of the family's 1533-position model. The record is from RNAcentral.
AUGCACGCUGGCGGCGUGCCUAAUACAUGCAAGUCGAGCGAACGGACGAGAAGCUUGCUUUUCUGAUGUUAGCGGCGGACGGGUGAGUAACACGUGGAUAACCUACCUAUAAGACUGGGAUAACUUCGGGAAACCGGAGCUAAUACCGGAUAAUAUUUUGAACCGCAUGGUUCAAAAGUGAAAGACGGUCUUGCUGUCACUUAUAGAUGGAUCCGCGCUGCAUUAGCUAGUUGGUAAGGUAACGGCUUACCAAGGCAACGAUGCAUAGCCGACCUGAGAGGGUGAUCGGCCACCCUGGAACUGGGACACGGUCCAGACUCCUACGGGAGGCAGCAGUAGGGAAUCUUCCGCAAUGGGCGAAAGCCUGACGGAGCAACGCCGCGUGAGUGAUGAAGGUCUUCGGAUCGUAAAACUCUGUUAUUAGGGAAGAACAUAUGUGUAAGUAACUGUGCACAUCUUGACGGUACCUAAUCAGAAAGCCACGGCUAACUACGUG